CAAUUGCACUUUUAGAUUUGCAAAAUAAGGUUUUUCGUUUUCUUAUUGGGAGAAAGAAGAGUACGGAAAAGUGAAGGAGAUGAAGCAAAUCUGGAAGACGAAGAGGAAAGGGAAUUGAAGUAUUUAAGAGUAAGAGGAGGAAUUUUUAUCGUCAGAAGAAGUCUGAAGAAAAUAGCACUGACGUAGCAGAGCUUGUGGAAAGCAGAAACCUUUAAGAUAAAGUCCUCCGAUCCACCACGAACCAAUUGAGCGGAUGGCUAAAAU
RNAcentral lists this long non-coding RNA (264 nucleotides) under Eutrema salsugineum. Its description in RNAcentral is "long non-coding RNA (ESAL_LNC000482)". Lineage: Eukaryota; Viridiplantae; Streptophyta; Magnoliopsida; Brassicales; Brassicaceae. The record is from RNAcentral.